ACCUGAUCCAGCCCUGCCGCGUGUGUGAAGAAGGCCCUCGGGUUGUAAAGCACUUUCAGCGAGGAAGAACGCCUAGCGGUUAAUACCCGCUAGGAAAGACAUCACUCGCAGAAGAAGCACCGGCUAACUCCGUGCCAGCAGCCGCGGUAAUACGGAGGGUGCAAGCGUUAAUCGGAAUUACUGGGCGUAAAGCGCGCGUAGGUGGCUUGAUAAGCCGGUUGUGAAAGCCCCGGGCUCAACCUGGGAACGGCAUCCGGAACUGUCAAGCUAGAGUGCAGGAGAGGAAGGUAGAAUUCCCGGUGUAGCGGUGAAAUGCGUAGAGAUCGGGAGGAAUACCAGUGGCGAAGGCGGCCUUCUGGACUGACACUGACACUGAGGUGCGAAAGCGUGGGUAGCAAACAGGAUUAGAUACCCUGGUAGUCCACGCCGUAAACGAUGUCGACCAGCCGUUGGGUGCCUAGCGCACUUUGUGGCGAAGUUAACGCGAUAAGUCGACCGCCUGGGGAGUACGGCCGCAAGGUUAAAACUCAAA
Molecule: ribosomal RNA, 532 nt
Filed under: Halomonas sp.
Lineage: Bacteria; Pseudomonadati; Pseudomonadota; Gammaproteobacteria; Oceanospirillales; Halomonadaceae
Description: bacterial SSU rRNA
Rfam family: Bacterial small subunit ribosomal RNA
Source: RNAcentral